Molecule: small RNA, 583 nt
Filed under: Pan troglodytes (chimpanzee)
Lineage: Eukaryota; Metazoa; Chordata; Mammalia; Primates; Hominidae
Description: processed transcript
Source: RNAcentral
UUCCUUGUUGUGAGCCCCGGCCCGGCAGUGUCCCGACUCGUAGCCCCGCUGUUCUUAUCCGGGCCGCUAGCCUGAGUCUAGGUCGCAGCCGCAGCCCGACCCCGUCGGUCACCUUUUCAGCGCAGGUCCUUUCCCCGCACGCCCUGCGCUCCCUAAUAUGCCCAACCCCAGCAGCACCUCCUCUCCCUACCCCCUCCCUGAGGAAAUUAGGAACCUGUUGGCAGAUGUUGAAACAUUUGUAGCAGAUAUACUGAAAGGAGAAAAUUUAUCCAAGAAAGCAAAGGAAAAGAGAGAAUCCCUUAUUAAGAAGAUAAAAGAUGUAAAGUCUAUCUAUCUUCAGGAAUUUCAAGACAAAGGUGAUGCAGAAGAUGGGGAAGAAUAUGAUGACCCUUUUGCUGGGCCUCCAGACACUAUUUCAUUAGCCUCAGAACGAUAUGAUAAAGAUGAUGAAGCCCCCUCUGAUGGUUUUAAAAGAAGAAAUUGAGUCCAGAGAGGCUCAGUGACAUGUUUAAGGUAAAAAAAAAAAAAAAAAAUGUAUGGAACUGAGAUCACAUUACAGACUUCUUUAACCUGUGCCAUGGAU